This 1096-nucleotide long non-coding RNA is filed under the name Volvox carteri. RNAcentral's name for it is "long non-coding RNA (VCAR_LNC003910)". The record is from RNAcentral. Lineage: Eukaryota; Viridiplantae; Chlorophyta; Chlorophyceae; Chlamydomonadales; Volvocaceae.
GAAGAGUACAUGUUGACCUGAUGGGACCUUACAAGGAGACACCCCGCGGCAACAGCUAUCUGAUCGUGGCUGUAGACUCAUGGUCUAAAUGGCCCGAGGCAGGACCCCUGCCGGAUAAGAAAGCUAGCACCACUGCAUCAUGGUUCUGGCAACAGUGGGUGACCCGCUAUGGAUCGCCAGAAAUGGUGAUGACGGAUCAAGGUCGAGAAUGGGAUGGCGAGUUUGCCCACCUGCUACGAGAGCAGAAAAUCGCACAUCGACACACCGCUGCCUACUCACCUCAGAGCAACGGGCAGGCAGAGCGCCUUGUCAGGGUACUGUUAACAAGCCUACGCAAAUGCAUCAACGACAAGGAAGACAACUGGGACAUUGAGGUCUAUCAAAUUCUCUAUGGUUGUAGAGCUACCCGACAAGAUAGCACGCGGUUGAGCCCGGCGCUAUGUGUGUUCGGCAAAGAACUUACAACGGCGGCUGAACGCAGCACCGCCCUGAAUCCCACACUACCGUCUGAGGACCCUGGCGGAGGUUAGCCCCGGCCAGGUGGCCAGGUUUCUGAAGGGGGGGGACGCUACAGCUGUAGCGACUUCCAGCUGGUCAUAGAGAACUGAGUUUGACGGCUUUGGUUGCGUAUUGUUCCGGGCAUAGCAGGAGGCCGAAUAUUGCCAUAUCGUUAAUUAAAAACUAUAAACGCGUUGAGAAUGGUCAUGUACAUACGGCGCACCGCGUAAAGACUGGCGAUGAAAAGCAGGCGAUUUGUGUCUGACGAUCUAGCUCCGGUCUGAGAAAUGUUCUAUGAAAAAUAUCCUGUACUAGUUUCUUCUCAGUUUCCUUUGGCCGCCAUGAACCUGGCCAGGAGCUGCGUAAACGGGUAGCUACCGUUGCGUAAUUGUAGCUUAGAUGCGGCAGGAGCAAAGCGAGUAUAGCCUCUAAGCUAGGUUAUGUACGGCAGCCGUAUGGCUUGCUGAGAAUUCGAAUUUACUAUUUCAGCUGACAGCUCCAUAGUUCCGGCAUUCUGCCUACACUAUUGGAGCUUAUUAUUAUUGUUGCUCUCACUUUUUUCCAAGACCUUACCGACUACCCUCAAGCCUCAUCGACG